GACGAACUUUGGCGGCGUGCUUAACACAUGCAAGUCGAACGGAAAGGCCCUGCUUUUGUGGGGUGCUCGAGUGGCGAACGGGUGAGUAACACGUGAGUAACCUGCCCUUGACUUUGGGAUAACUUCAGGAAACUGGGGCUAAUACCGGAUAGGAGCUCCUGCUGCAUGGUGGGGGUUGGAAAGUUUCGGCGGUUGGGGAUGGACUCGCGGCUUAUCAGCUUGUUGGUGGGGUAGUGGCUUACCAAGGCUUUGACGGGUAGCCGGCCUGAGAGGGUGACCGGCCACAUUGGGACUGAGAUACGGCCCAGACUCCUACGGGAGGCAGCAGUGGGGAAUAUUGCACAAUGGGCGGAAGCCUGAUGCAGCAACGCCGCGUGCGGGAUGACGGCCUUCGGGUUGUAAACCGCUUUCGCCUGUGACGAAGCGUGAGUGACGGUAAUGGGUAAAGAAGCACCGGCUAACUACGUGCCAGCAGCCGCGGUGAUACGUAGGGUGCGAGCGUUGUCCGGAUUUAUUGGGCGUAAAGGGCUCGUAGGUGGUUGAUCGCGUCGGAAGUGUAAUCUUGGGGCUUAACCCUGAGCGUGCUUUCGAUACGGGUUGACUUGAGGAAGGUAGGGGAGAAUGGAAUUCCUGGUGGAGCGGUGGAAUGCGCAGAUAUCAGGAGGAACACCAGUGGCGAAGGCGGUUCUCUGGGCCUUUCCUGACGCUGAGGAGCGAAAGCGUGGGGAGCGAACAGGCUUAGAUACCCUGGUAGUCCACGCUGUAAACGGUGGGUACUAGGUGUGGGGUCCAUUCCACGGGUUCCGUGCCGUAGCUAACGCUUUAAGUACCCCGCCUGGGGAGUACGGCCGCAAGGCUAAAACUCAAAGGAAUUGACGGGGCCCCGCACAAGCGGCGGAGCAUGCGGAUUAAUUCGAUGCAACGCGUAGAACCUUACCUGGGUUUGACAUGGAUCGGGAGUGCUCAGAGAUGGGUGUGCCUCUUUUGGGGUCGGUUCACAGGUGGUGCAUGCCUGUCGUCAGCUCGUGUCGUGAGAUGUUGGGUUAAGUCCCGCAACGAGCGCAACCCCUGUUCACUGUUGCCGGCACGUUAUGGUGGGGACUCAGUGGAGACCGCCGGGGUCAACUCGGAGGAAGGUGGGGAUGACGUCAAGUCAUCAUGCCCCUUAUGUCCAGGGCUUCACGCAUGCUACAAUGGCUGGUACAGAGAGUGGCGAGCCUGUGAGGGUGAGCGAAUCUCGGAAAGCCGGUCUCAGUUCGGAUUGGGGUCUGCAACUCGACCUCAUGAAGUCGGAGUCGCUAGUAAUCGCAGAUCAGCAACGCUGCGGUGAAUACGUUCCCGGGGCC
Molecule: ribosomal RNA, 1346 nt
Filed under: uncultured bacterium
Lineage: Bacteria
Description: partial 16S ribosomal RNA
Rfam family: Bacterial small subunit ribosomal RNA
Source: RNAcentral